AGCAUAGUUAAAGGGACACUAUGGUCACCUGAACAACUUUAGCUUAGUGAAGCAGUUUUGGUGUGUAGAACAUGCCCCUGCAGCCUCACUGCUCAAUCCUCUGCCAUUUAGGAGUUAAAUCCCUUUGUUUAUGAACCCUAGUCACACCUCCCUGCAUGUGACUUGCACAGCCUUCCAUAAACACUCCCUGUAAAGAGAGCCCUAUUUAGGCUUUCUUUAUUGCAAGUUCUGUUUAAUUAAGAUUUUCUUAUCCCCUGCUAUGUUAAUAGCUUGCUAGACCCUACAAGAGCCUCCUGUAUGUGAUUAAAGUUAAAUUUAGAGA
This 322-nucleotide long non-coding RNA is filed under the name Pelobates cultripes (western spadefoot toad). The record is from RNAcentral. Lineage: Eukaryota; Metazoa; Chordata; Amphibia; Anura; Pelobatidae.